Ananas comosus (pineapple) is the source of this 2282-nucleotide long non-coding RNA. RefSeq lists it as uncharacterized. The record is from RefSeq and is a predicted model, not a curated record. The transcript has 5 exons. Lineage: Eukaryota; Viridiplantae; Streptophyta; Magnoliopsida; Poales; Bromeliaceae.
UUAAAAUAAAUCAGGGUGUUAUCAAAGUGGCUAUAGUUGUACUUUUGAAUUUUAGUUUAGUUGUACUUAGUUAUUUGAACUCUAUAAUAUCAAAAAUAUUCUUACACUUUCAAGUUGUUUCAAUUGGCCAUAAUUUUUGUGAUAUUUUUUUAACUAAUGUUAGUCAUUAGAUCCUAAAGAAUUCAUGUUUACAAAAAAAAAAAAAAAAUUCCCUCCAAAUGCCAAGUAAAAUCUACAUCGUUUUUUUGACUUUUUAAAAGCUUAGACAGUUUAUUUGCAGUUCAGAAAAAUCCGCUAUAUUUUUUUCAAAAAGAAAAAUUAAUAAUAACUUAAUUAGAUGAAAAAGGGACUAAAUAAAGCAAUAAAACUGCUACAUGUAUAUCUAUAAAAAAAUAGGUGUAACUUUUAUACCCAAACUAUUUAAUAAUUGGAUGAUCACUUUAUCUAUAAAUCUAUAAUCUAUCAUCUAUAAAUCUAUAAAUCUAUAAUCUAUCAUCUAUAAAUCUAUAAAUUAUUAUUAAUUUUCGUAGGAUUCAAAUCCUUCCCGUAUUUCAGGGAAAAAAUGGGUCUCACCCCUUCUCUUAACUUACAGAAUAAUUUUUUUAAAAUAAAAACUACUUUCUCUCUCGUGUCGUUUUCUUCUAAAACUCUUCCGAUUCUCCCUUCUCUCAAUCCUAUCCGUCCCUUCCUCUCCUCUCUCUCUCUCUUAAUUUAUUUUUUUAUUCGUCCGUCUGUUUACCUUCCCUCUCCCAAUCUUUUAUAUUCACACAUUCACCUUAAUGCUUCCCUCCUCUUCCCUUCCCUCCCGUCUCCCAUCCCAUUCCCUCCCUUCUCCUCCCUCCUCAUCCAUACCUUCCCCAAACAACUCUUCUCCCUCUCUGACCUCGCGCUAAUGUGCACCCUCCUCACUUCCCUUGACCACCUUCGUCGUCGCAGCAACAGCCUCCUCGGGUGCCACGUCUGGGCCAUGGGGCCCCUCAAGCCCACUGAGCCCUCGGGCGCCAUGCAACGAGGUGAGGAGGAGCUUCUCUUAACAGGGCCAUGGCGACGGAGUAGCGCGAGCUCGGCAACACGGGGCUAAGGCUUAGCUACGUCAGUUUUAGCGCCUCUUAGCAAUGUAUUCGGCCGCGUCUCUCCCAUCGCUGUCGUCACCGCCGUGCGCCACACCUUCGACCUCGGGGUCAACUUCUUCGACACCUCCCCGUCCGUAUCCCUAACUCUAGCCCUAGAUCUCCUUCUUUGUACGAGCUUCGAGGUUCGAUCUUGAUGCGUGGCAGGUACUAUGGGGGGUAGGUGUUGGAGGCUAUGCUCGGCGAGUGCCUUAGGGAGAUCGGGGCGCCGUGAGAGGAGAUCGUCGUCUCCACCAAGUGCGAGCGCUACACCGAUGAGUUCAUCUUCUCUAAAUUAGUUGGAUUUCGUAGAUGUGACUGAGGGCAAAGUUGAUAAGUAAACAACGGAGUUCAUUCCAAGCAAUGGAUUUUGACCCCUAAUUGAUUUGCUUUAUUCUCUGAUUGCAAAUCAAUUAAGUUUCUACGUAUGCUUCGGGAGCCAGUACGCCCUGUCUGCAUAAGUCAAAACAAAGCAUAUUAAGGGAAAAGAGAAAAUAAUACUGCAUGUAAUAUCUUAUAACAGUUAUUGUUGCACAUGCAUGCUCUCUCUGUACGAUGGGAGAAGGAACGCUGUAAUGGACAGGAGAAGAAGCAACAACGCGCGGAGGGGGAGUUGAGAGCAAAUUCUCUCUUUUGUACAAAAAAUCAAAAUAGAGAGUGCAGUGGUUCGGUUUGAUUUAGAGGUUUAGGUAGUGAGCGGUUCGGUUCGGUUCGGUUCAGAAGUUCAGAAAGAGGCGGUUCAUUGGUUCGGUUCAGAUGUGUAGAGACACAAUGAGCGGAGUGUAAUUCAAUAUUUCUUCAAUAUUUCUAUACCUGUGGGGCAAAUUAAUUAGUAUACAUAGGCCCUACUAAUUAGAAGUGAUCAUUUGAAGUUAUAAAGAAUUUGCCUGCUUUAGCUUGGGUAUUAAGAUAGCACAUAUGCAAGUGAAGCGUUUUAUCGAAUAUCUCCACGAAACAGGAAAUUUAGGAUGUGUAGAAGCCAUUUUAGCUCCUCUCAAUUUUAGGCCAGUAUUGAGCAAAAGAAUGAGAGACAAAUUCGCUGCAGUUGGCAUACUCCAGACUUUAAUUAAGGAAGUAAUUGCCGGGCUGAAAGAAGUUUACAGAGCUCUACAAAUGCAGAUGCAAUGUUCGACGUAGGUCUAUUACUUUUUUUGGUAGUUUCCGAGUGCAAAU